GCGUCCCUCUUCCUUUCUGGUACAGUAGGUGUAGAACAGAGGGAAGAAGACUGCUGUAGACGGAGAGCUGAACCUGACUUCUCUUCAUUGAGUGUUCCUAUUGAAGUACAGAAACACAGCUGAGCUACCAAGACUUCCCUUCAUAAUAUAGAAUUCCUGAUUUCCUGAUCUCUCAGACUGAAACAAUAUUGCUUAAAAAAAAUUAGUCUUCAGAAGUAAAGCUUAGCUCUAAUGAAGUCCAAGAAAGGAAUAAGCUACUGAGGAUAUUUACUAAAUAUGAAGGUUAAAUGGCGUAAAUUUAAAAGAGAGAUAAGUGAUAGGAAGAGAUUGAAGGCAUUAGGGAAUUAUCGAAACAGUGGACUGGAGGAGUUCAUUUGCUUCCUGUGUCCUUUCUUCAUGUGACCUAAUCCACAUCCACGAGGACAUUUACAUUAUUCUCAUUCGCUUAGAGAGAAGAUAGCGACAGAACACAAGAUGACUAACUUGGAGGAGAGAGAAGGACCGGUGUUGUAUGCUUGGGAUGGACUAAUUAUUUCUGCUAUUAUCUCAUCUCCCAGAAGAUCACUUUCUCCAAAGACACAUGUUUUCUUUAUGGAAGGAAAUAAGCAAAAUUAAAAAAGAAUUAUAUCAUGGAAAGAAUUAAUUGUGUUUAUGUUAAGCAGAAACAAAUAUUAACUUGGAUGGUUUGGGAAAUGGGGCCUACAUUAGGCAAGUGACUCUGAGUAAAAAUGAAAAGAAAACUUUUAAAGGAAGGGCACUUUAAACAAAAUAAGAUACGCUUGUGUGUUAUGGAACCUGGUACAGUUUUCAUAUAAAAACAAGGUUGAGUCAAGUUCAAUUUAAUUCAAUUCAACAAGUAUUUAUUAAAUGCCUGUUAUGUCCCAGGUACUGCUGGGUCCGUGUUGGGGAUGCAGUCCCUGCUUUCAAGGAGGUUAAACUCUGCUAAGAUUAUGAGCUUCUUUAGUUAUUGGAAAGAGAGUCUUUUAAACUACACAAACAAUAGAGGAAUUAUCUUCAUCAGCCUCAGAUGUUUAAGGUAGGUCCCAAAGAGCGAAAACAUCAAAAUAGUGUUUGGAGGAUCCACAGCCAGCAGUUUUCGUAUGAAAUUUGCAUGUGCAGGUAUCUCACACACAUGUAUUCAAUUGCUGUUUCUCUCAUGAGUGACUGUCACAAGUUUACUUGGAGUUCUCAUUAAAAAUAUCACGUCUAUUGUCAUGAAAAUUUCAUUAAA
Trichosurus vulpecula (common brushtail) is the source of this 1231-nucleotide long non-coding RNA. RefSeq lists it as uncharacterized. Lineage: Eukaryota; Metazoa; Chordata; Mammalia; Diprotodontia; Phalangeridae. The record is from RefSeq and is a predicted model, not a curated record. The transcript has 5 exons.